UACGAAGGGGGCAAGCGUUGUUCGGAAUUACUGGGCGUAAAGGGCGCGUAGGCGGCUUAUCAAGUCAGGCGUGAAAUUCCCGGGCUCAACCUGGGGGCUGCGCUUGAUACUGAUUGGCUUGAAUGCGGGAGAGGAUAGUGGAAUUCCCAGUGUAGAGGUGAAAUUCGUAGAUAUUGGGAAGAACACCGGUGGAGAAGGCGGCUAUCUGGCCCGUAAUUGACGCUGAGGCGCGAAAGCGUGGGGAGCAAACAGG
RNAcentral lists this ribosomal RNA (253 nucleotides) under uncultured bacterium. RNAcentral's name for it is "partial 16S ribosomal RNA". It matches the Rfam family "Bacterial small subunit ribosomal RNA", at positions 524 to 776 of the family's 1533-position model. The record is from RNAcentral.